GUUUUUUAUUUGUGGCAUUUUAUUGUAAAGCCGUGACAUAUUUUGCCGUUUUCUCUAGGGAACCCUGCAACAAGGACUGUAGUGUGAAUAGCGUGCUGCGCUGCUCUCGCCAACUGAAAAGAACUCUGGUAAGAUGCAUGCUUGGUUAUGAAAGUCUCACGCAAUCGCUUUUCACAUUGAAUUUGGUCGCAGGUGUGCUGUAAAUGCCGACUGCACAAUAUGUGACUGGCCCGCGGCUGCUUUGAAGUUUGUGCGCUGUGGAGCUUGAAGCACUUCUCGGAAUUUCAGCACACUCGCAUUUAUUUUUUUCCCGACAGAAGAAAAAUGCAAGUCUAACAUCUCGACGGUAAAACGUCGCAUCUGCGCACGUGUUCAGGGCCAAGAGCACGAGAAGUGGCCGAAAGAAGGGAGCCGAUCCAACAGGAAUGCCGUCCGUCUUUAUAUUUAUAUGUGUCAGCGUUAUCAUGCCGUGAUCACAUGGACUGUACGGUUGCGUUGCACAAGGGCUGAUGCAAACGCUCCGUGCGAACAAUGUUGCAUGGAAAAUUAGUGCAUCUAUACAAUUGCAAAAUAAAGAUCUAAAGAGAGAAAACUUAUAUUCACGUCUUUCUUUUAUUGUGUGUUACGUAUUAACACGUUAACAAGUGCAGACCGUUAGAGGCGUUUAAUUCCGUCUUACAUGUGCACUCUGCCCGUAAUUAAUUCAGAUAGAGUUAAACGCCUCUAUAA
Rhipicephalus sanguineus (brown dog tick) is the source of this 729-nucleotide long non-coding RNA. RefSeq lists it as uncharacterized. NCBI's taxonomy places the organism in Eukaryota, Metazoa, Arthropoda, Arachnida, Ixodida, Ixodidae. The transcript has 3 exons. The record is from RefSeq and is a predicted model, not a curated record.